AGGCCAUGGAUACCACCCUUGAUCUGGGCCGA
Molecule: non-coding RNA, 32 nt
Filed under: Homo sapiens (human)
Lineage: Eukaryota; Metazoa; Chordata; Mammalia; Primates; Hominidae
Source: RNAcentral